Long non-coding RNA from Onychostoma macrolepis, 876 nucleotides. RefSeq lists it as uncharacterized. NCBI's taxonomy places the organism in Eukaryota, Metazoa, Chordata, Actinopteri, Cypriniformes, Cyprinidae. The record is from RefSeq and is a predicted model, not a curated record. The transcript is spliced from 6 exons.
UGAUCACUAAAAGCGCGCGAGCGCCGCUGUUUAAACUUCAACGGUUCAAGGUGGGCUGACUGCAUUCAGCGCUUGGGAGAACGACGAUUACAUUGCUAAAAGAAGAAAGGUGGUUUAUGGCGUUGUCCUGGCCUGCGCAAUUCUCCGCCGGGAGAGUGUAUUGGACCUAUACCUAUAGGAAAAUAUGAAGCAAAGUUUCAGUCAAAUCGCCGUCAGACUGCUGUUAUAAACAUGAAUUCAAACCAAGAAGAACAAAGAGAAGCUGAUGGGGAUGUUUCCUUUUUUUUCUGUGGAUAACUAUGUUCAUCUAUCUCAGAGAGCACUGUUAAAGUUUUAGCACCAGCUUAUCAACAAUAACACAAAAGGUCUGGAGUGCAGCAUUACUUGUUUGGUCAUCUACAUUCAGAUGAAAACACCACACUUCUCUCUAAUUCAAGAUGUCAAGCCUACUCAUCGUAAAGAGAGUUAGCAUCAAAAUGGAUGUGUCACUGACCAAUAACACUUUUUGUUCAGUAUGGAGCAUCCAAAAGCCAUCACUCAGUUCAUUUCAAAUCAGCACUAUUUAGCUCUUCCCAGUGCUGAAAAUGUCAUGGGUCCUUUGUUUUUAUUCUUUAAAUGCUUAUCUGAAUGUAAAAUUAAUAUUUAAUGCUUAUAAAAAAACAAAAAAAACAAUAGUUGCCUUUUUGAGUUAGGUGGAGGGGGUUGAAAAAACAAUAUUUCUAAAAUGGAGAGUGCUAUUUUAGACAGGUAAAAAUAAUAAAAAACUACAAAUAAAUAAAGAAACAUGGAUUUAUGUUAAUCCCUGUAGCUGUUGCACUAUGAAAUGCUGUGUUAUAUAUUGCUCGUCAUUGUAAAUGCUAAUAAAAGUGUCUUAAA